AUAUUGGUCAAUGGUCGGGAGACUGAACCAGCCAAGCCGCGUGAGGGAUGAAGGUACAGAGUAUCGUAAACCUCUUUUGUCAGGGAACAAAGGCGGGGACGCGUCCCCGGAUGAGUGUACCUGAAGAAAAAGCAUCGGCUAACUCCGUGCCAGCAGCCGCGGUAAUACGGAGGAUGCGAGCGUUAUCCGGAUUUAUUGGGUUUAAAGGGUGCGCAGGCGGAGGUGCAAGUCAGCGGUCAAAUUGCGGGGCUCAACCCCGUACUGCCGUUGAAACUGCAUCCCUUGAGUGCGCGAGAAGUAUGCGGAAUGCGUGGUGUAGCGGUGAAAUGCAUAGAUAUCACGCAGAACUCCGAUUGCGAAGGCAGCAUACCGGCGCGCAACUGACGCUCAUGCACGAAAGCGUGGGUAUCGA
RNAcentral lists this ribosomal RNA (412 nucleotides) under uncultured bacterium. RNAcentral describes it as "bacterial SSU rRNA". It matches the Rfam family "Bacterial small subunit ribosomal RNA", at positions 361 to 771 of the family's 1533-position model. The record is from RNAcentral.